RNAcentral lists this ribosomal RNA (288 nucleotides) under uncultured bacterium. Its description in RNAcentral is "partial 16S ribosomal RNA". It matches the Rfam family "Bacterial small subunit ribosomal RNA", at positions 128 to 400 of the family's 1533-position model. The record is from RNAcentral.
AAAAAAAAAAUUGAGAUAACUUCAGGAAACUGGGGCUAAUACCGGAUAGGAGCUCCUGCUGCAUGGUGGGGGUUGGAAAGUUUCGGCGUUUGGGGAUGGACUCGAGGCUUAUCAGCUUGUUGGUGGGGUAGUGGCUUACCAAGGCUUUGACGGGUAGCCUGCCUGCGAGGGUGACCGGCCAAAUUGGGACUGAGAUAAGGCACAGAACCCUAUGGGAGGCAGAAGUGGGGAAUAUUGCACAAUGGGUUUAUGUUUAAUGAUGCGGCGCCCCCCGAGAUAUACACACAG